This 465-nucleotide ribosomal RNA is filed under the name uncultured bacterium. RNAcentral's name for it is "partial 16S ribosomal RNA". It matches the Rfam family "Bacterial small subunit ribosomal RNA", at positions 339 to 795 of the family's 1533-position model. The record is from RNAcentral.
CUACGGGGGGCAGCAGUGAGGAAUAUUGCGCAAUGGGGGAAACCCUGACGCAGCGACGCCGCAUGGAUGAUGAAGGCCUUCGGGUCGUAAAAUCCUGUCAGAAGGAGAGAAGUGUAUGGUAGCUAAUAUCUGCCAUACUUGACGGUACCUUCAAAGGAAGCACCGGCUAACUCCGUGCCAGCAGCCGCGGUAAUGCGGAGGGUGCAAGCGUUGUUCGGAAUUACUGGGCGUAAAGCGCGCGUAGGCGGUUUUAUAAGUCAGAUGUGAAAGUCCACGGCUCAACCAUGGAAGUGCAUUUGAAACUGUAAGACUUGAGUAUUGGAGGGGGUAGUGGAAUUCCCGGUGUAGAGGUGAAAUUCGUAGAUAUCGGGAGGAAUACCGGUGGCGAAGGCGACUAUCUGGCCAAAUACUGACGCUGAGGUGCGAAAGCGUGGGGAGCAAACAGGAUUAGAUACCCUAGUAGUC